AAAGCAGGUCGCAAUUACAGUGCUUCAUUGAUCCCGUGGGAGUACUGCCAUUAUCCUGCUGAGAGAAAAGUUCACAUUGCUUUGGAGUUACUUAUCCUGGUCAAUGCAUUUGACGGGGAUGCUCUGAAGUACUGACACUU
Engraulis encrasicolus (European anchovy) is the source of this 140-nucleotide small nucleolar RNA. RefSeq annotates it as small nucleolar RNA SNORA69. The transcript has a single exon. NCBI's taxonomy places the organism in Eukaryota, Metazoa, Chordata, Actinopteri, Clupeiformes, Engraulidae. The record is from RefSeq and is a predicted model, not a curated record.